AUUUGGAGAGGAUGCUUUUGGCGCGGCGCCGUCCGAGUUCCUUGGAACAGGACGCCAGAGAGGGUGAGAGCCCCGUACGGACGGACGCCUAGCCUCUACAAAGCUCCUUCGACGAGUCGAGUAGUUUGGGAAUGCUGCUCUAAAUGGGAGGUAAAUUUCUUCUAAAGCUAAAUACCGGCCAGAGACCGAUAGCGCACAAGUAGAGUGAUCGAAAGAUGAAAAGCACUUUGAAAAGAGGGUUAAACAGUACGUGAAAUUGUUGAAAGGGAAGCGCCUGUGACCAGACUUGCGCCCCGCGGACCAACCGGCGCUCCGCGCCGGUGCACUCCGCGGGGUGCAGGCCAGCAUCGGUUCUCCCAGGGGGACAAAGGCCGCGGGAACGUAGCUCCCUCGGGAGUGUUAUAGCCCGCGGCGGCAUGCCCCUGGGGGGACCGAGGACCGCGCUUCGGCAAGGAUGCUGGCGUAAUGGUCACCAGCGACCCGUCUUGAAACACGGACCAAGGAGUCAAGCAUUGGGGCGAGUGUUUGGGUGUCAAACCCGCACGCGAAAUGAAAGUAAACGCAGGGGAGAGCUUCGGCGCAUCCCCGACCGAUCCUGAUGUCUUCGGAUGGAUUUGAGUAAGAGCCUUACCGCUUGGACCCGAAAGAUGGUGAACUAUGCCUGUGUAGGGUGAAGCCAGAGGAAACUCUGGUGGAGG
RNAcentral lists this ribosomal RNA (698 nucleotides) under Jamesreidia nigrocarpa. RNAcentral describes it as "eukaryotic LSU rRNA". It matches the Rfam family "Eukaryotic large subunit ribosomal RNA", at positions 148 to 873 of the family's 3401-position model. The record is from RNAcentral. Lineage: Eukaryota; Fungi; Ascomycota; Sordariomycetes; Ophiostomatales; Ophiostomataceae.